This 384-nucleotide ribosomal RNA is filed under the name uncultured eukaryote. RNAcentral describes it as "partial 18S ribosomal RNA". It matches the Rfam family "Eukaryotic small subunit ribosomal RNA", at positions 592 to 976 of the family's 1831-position model. The record is from RNAcentral.
CAAUAGCGUAUAUUAAAGUUGUUGCGGUUAAAAAGCUCGUAGUUGGAUUUCGGCGGACAGGGGGCGGUUCGAUAUUUGUCGCUACUGCCCCAUUUGUCCGUGUUUUUGGCGGAGGUUUCAGGGUGCUCUUCACCGAGUGUCCUGGGAUGCCGUCAGGUUUACUUUGAAAAAAUUAGAGUGCUCAAAGCAGGCUUUACACGCUUGAAUAUUCGUGCAUGGAAUAAUGGAAUAGGACGUCGUUUCUAUUUUGUUGGUUUUCGGAAAUCGACGUAAUGAUUAACAGGGACAGUCGGGGGCAUUAGUAUUCAGACGACAGAGGUGAAAUUCUUAGAUUGCCGAAAGACAAACUGCUGCGAAAGCGUCUGCCAAGGAUGUUUUCAUUGA